AUCGAACGCUGGCGGCAGGCCUAACACAUGCAAGUCGAACGAGUGGCGGACGGGUGAGUAAUGUCUGGGAAACUGCCUGAUGGAGGGGGAUAACCACUGGAAACGGUAGCCAAUACCGCAUACCAUCGGAUGUGCCCAGCGCGGAUGAGCUAGUGGGUGGGGUAAAGGCUCACCUAGGGGACGAUCCCUAGCUGGGCUGAGAGGAUGACCGGCCACAUUGGAACUGGAACAGGGCCCGGACUCCUACGGAGGCCGGCGGGGGGAAUUUUUGCACAAUGGGGAAAAGCCUACGGAAGACAUGCGGGUGAGUGAAAGAGGGCCUCCGGGUUUUAAGGUCCUUUCAUCGGGAAGACGGUACCCGCAGAGAAAGCACCGGCUAACUCCGUGCCAGCAGCCGCGGUAAUAC
This 406-nucleotide ribosomal RNA is filed under the name uncultured bacterium. RNAcentral describes it as "partial 16S ribosomal RNA". It matches the Rfam family "Bacterial small subunit ribosomal RNA", at positions 29 to 526 of the family's 1533-position model. The record is from RNAcentral.